This 435-nucleotide ribosomal RNA is filed under the name uncultured bacterium. RNAcentral's name for it is "partial 16S ribosomal RNA". It matches the Rfam family "Bacterial small subunit ribosomal RNA", at positions 28 to 507 of the family's 1533-position model. The record is from RNAcentral.
GAUGAACGCUGGCGGUAUGCUUAACACAUGCAAGUCGAACGGACUCUUCGGAGUUAGUGGCGGACGGGUGGGUAACGCGUGAGAAUCUGGCUUUGGGUUCGGGACAACCACUGUAAACGGUGGCUAAUACCGGAUGUGCCGAGAGGUAAAAGAGAAAUUGCCUGAAGAUGAGCUCGCGUCUGAUUAGCUAGUUGGUGAGGUAAAGGCUCACCAAGGCAGCGAUCAGUAGCUGGUCUGAGAGGAUGAACAGCCACACUGGGACUGAGACACGGCCCAGACGACUACGGGAGGCAGCAGUGGGGAAUUGUCCGCAAAGGGCGAAAGCCUGACGGAGCAAUACCGCGUGAGGGAAGAAGGUUCUUGGGGUGUAAACCUCUUUUCUUAGGGAAGAACAAAAUGACGGUACCUAAGGAAUCAGCACCGGCUAACUCCGUG